RNAcentral lists this ribosomal RNA (398 nucleotides) under uncultured bacterium. Its description in RNAcentral is "bacterial SSU rRNA". It matches the Rfam family "Bacterial small subunit ribosomal RNA", at positions 28 to 416 of the family's 1533-position model. The record is from RNAcentral.
GACGAACGCUGGCGGCGUGCCUAACACAUGCAAGUCGAGCGGGAACCCCAGGAGGGGUAACCCUUCUGAGGGGAGAGCGGCGAACGGGUGAGUAACACGUGGGCAACCUGCCCCGGACACCGGGAUAACCCAGGGAAACCUGAGCUAAUACCGGAUACUCCGGCGCGAUCGCAUGGUCGUGCCGGGAAAGCUCCGACGGUCCGGGAUGGGCCCGCGGCCUAUCAGCUUGUUGGUGGGGUAACGGCCCACCAAGGCGACGACGGGUAGCUGGUCUGAGAGGACGGCCAGCCACACUGGGACUGAGACACGGCCCAGACUCCUACGGGAGGGCAGCAGUGGGGGAUCUUGCGCUAAUGCGCGAAAGCGUGACGCAGCGACGCCGCGUGGGGAUGAAGGCC